This 403-nucleotide ribosomal RNA is filed under the name uncultured bacterium. RNAcentral describes it as "bacterial SSU rRNA". It matches the Rfam family "Bacterial small subunit ribosomal RNA", at positions 355 to 775 of the family's 1533-position model. The record is from RNAcentral.
UAGGGAAUAUUGGUAAUGGGCGAAAGCCUGAACCAGCAACGCCGCGUGCGCGAUGAAGGCCUUCGGGUUGUAAAGCGCUUUUGGAGGGGAUGAGGAAGGACAGUACCCUCAGAAUAAGCCUCGGCUAACUACGUGCCAGCAGCCGCGGUAACACGUAGGAGGCGAGCGUUAUCCGGAUUUACUGGGCGUAAAGCGCGUGCAGGCGGUUUGGAAAGUUGGAUGUGAAAGCUCCUGGCUUAACUGGGAGAGGUCGUACAAUACUACCAAACUAGAGGAUGUGAGAGGAAGGCGGAAUUCCGGGUGUAGUGGUGAAAUGCGUAGAUAUCCGGAGGAACACCAGUGGCGAAAGCGGCCUUCUGGCACAUUCCUGACGCUCAGACGCGAAAGCUAGGGUAGCAAACGG